AUGGCAUAUUCAGAAACUGGGAGUAGCUAUUACUAUUAGAGGCACAAGGCACAAGCAGGCCAUGACAGUUGUCGGCAUGCUGCUGAGGUCUCUGACGUCCCUGCUGAGUAAUGCCAUACUCCCUCGAUGAUCUGGAAUAUCCUUUUCAUGCUGUUGUAGCUGUAUUAUUUUGCUCGACAAGGACAUGGAUAUAAGUUUUGUCAGACCAGUUCACUCUAUGGUUUUAAUGCCUGGAAUAAAUGGUUGGUUUGAUUAAGUGGCCAACCUGGCUCGAACUGGCUCAAACUAUAACACGAACCAUGGUCACUGUUCGGUCAGCCCUGCCCCUUUCCGAAAAGAGAAGGAUGAAAGAUGCAGCUAUGUGAUCUUGAACCGAGGACCUCUACUUACAUUGGGUAGGGGAGUCCAUACCAACUUUACUUCUUUGUUUAACUAUUAGGUAAAUAGUACAUAUACCAACAGUUCAUAUGUACACAUGCACACACAUCCAAGUUAAGUAAUAUUAUUAAUUCAAUCGAACACUUCUCUAUCUUUUUAUCUUUCAUUGUGUGCUUGAUUAUUAAUAACAAUAAUAAUAAUUGUUAGAUACCACUUUACCACUUAAGCUAUUAGGUUGUGGACCAGCGGUGUAUAUCGAGCUUUAACACUUUGCAGCCAAAUAGCAUGUGGAGAGACAAACACAUGAUAAUUAACACCCAUUAUAGGGAAUAUAAUAAUUUUUAAACAUCAUACAAUGAAAGUGGGCGACAAGACUAGACCCAGGACCUCCAAGUGUACCAUGUUAGAAUACCAUUUUACUUAAAAGCUUAAGCAUUAAGGUUGUGGACAAAAAUGUACAUUGAGCUUUAACACCACCACCACCACCACCACCACCAAUAAUAAUAAUAAUAAUAAUAAUAAUAAUAAUAAGUUUAAAGAAUAUUCUAGAAAAAAGUAGUAGUUAAAAACAAUAAUAAAUAAGUUUAAAAGAAUAUUUUAGAAAAGGUAAUACUUUUAUAUAGAAUGUGUUAGUAAUUAUUUUUUUCUCUAAUUAACUAAUAGGGUGAUUAUGGCUAGCAUCUAUAUAAUAUUAUCUUGCUUAGUGUUAUAUUAUUGUUGUGAUAUAUAUAUGUAUGUAUAUAUAGUGUCAUGCUUACAUCACUGGUACCACCAUCAAUUCGACCCAUUGUUCCACCUGAUCCGACCGAUCCUAAGUUCCUUUUAUGAUUUGGGCAUUAGUCCAGGUUUUCAAACUAUUUAAGGCCUGAUACAUUGUUGGCCCACAACCUAACAGCUUAAGCUUUUAGGUGAAGUCGUAAUCUAACAUGGUAUAGGAGGUCCUCGGUUCUUGUCUCGUUGCCCGCAUUUGUUAUGUGGUGUUUAAAAAAAUUAUUGUAAACCCCCUAAUGGGUGUUAUUAAUCAUGUUUUAUCUCCCUACGUGCUGUCUAGCUGCAGGUGUGGGGGAGUGAGGCCUGAUAUAUAUUGUUGGCCCGAACCUAACAACUUACGUUUUUAGGGUACUGUCCUAAUAAAAGAAGUACUUUCUUUGACUGUGUUCUACAAUGCAUGAACACUCAUUGAAGUGGAGAAGAGGGCAAAGACAUUAGGUGCUGGAGGGGCUCUAUUUGAAGCGGCGAGGCAGCGAUGGCUUAUGACAAAGAUGGUAACGAGGAUGUCGCUGGCUGGUUGAAGGCAGUGAUGCAUAAUAACUCGAUUGUGGUCACACAACAUUGGUGAUGGGGAGAUCUUCUUGAAGAGGUUGGCUUCAAGUCAGUUGGAUGGUCAUCGAAUUUGUGACUAACUCAAGGAAUGUGUGUUUGAUUUACUCAACCACAAACUCGUGUAACGACUAUGGUGAGUAGCUCUUAUGUUUGCUCUCCAUGGGUGAAAAAUAUGAGAUGACACACAGUGACUCUGGUUAUGAUGGGGUAUGAGUGUAUUGACUACCAUUGAGGGUGAUCGAGUUGCAAGGGGAGGAGUGAUAAUGGAGGUAGUGAUGGCCAUUCAAGGCUCUGAUGCAAAUCGAUGCAUGUAUGCACACACCCACAGUUAAUACCCUCUCUCCAAUUCAAUAAUUCAGUUCUCCAAAA
Long non-coding RNA from Malania oleifera, 2070 nucleotides. RefSeq lists it as uncharacterized. NCBI's taxonomy places the organism in Eukaryota, Viridiplantae, Streptophyta, Magnoliopsida, Santalales, Ximeniaceae. The transcript has 3 exons. The record is from RefSeq and is a predicted model, not a curated record.